GGCCUAUCAGCUUGUUGGUGAGGUAAUGGCUUACCAAGGCGACGACGGGUAGCCGGCCUGAGAGGGUGACCGGCCACACUGGGACUGAGAUACGGCCCAGACUCCUACGGGAGGCAGCAGUGGGGAAUAUUGCACAAUGGGCGCAAGCCUGAUGCAGCAACGCCGCGUGAGGGAUGACGGCCUUCGGGUUGUAAACCUCUUUUGGUAGGGAAGAAGCUUUCGAGUGACGGUACCUGCAGAAAAAGCACCGGCUAACUACGUGCCAGCAGCCGCGGUAAUACGUAGGGUGCAAGCGUUGUCCGGAAUUAUUGGGCGUAAAGAGCUCGUAGGCGGUUUGUCGCGUCUGCUGUGAAAUCCCGAGGCUCAACCUCGGACGUGCAGUGGGUACGGGCAGGCUUGAGUGCGGUAGGGGAGAUUGGAAUUCCUGGUGUAGCGGUGGAAUGCGCAGAUAUCAGGAGGAACACCGAUGGCGAAGGCAGAUCUCUGGGCCGCUACUGACGCUGAGGAGCGAAAGCAUGGGGAGCGAACAGGAUUAGAUACCCUGGUAGUCCAUGCCGUAAACGUUGGGAACUAGAUGUAGGGGCCUUUCCACGGCUUCUGUGUCGACGCUAACGCAUUAAGUUCCCCGCCUGGGGAGUACGGCCGCAAGGCUAAAACUCAAAGGAAUUGACGGGGGCCCGCACAAGCGGCGGAGCAUGCGGAUUAAUUCGAUGCAACGCGAAGAACCUUACCAAGGCUUGACAUAUACGAGAACACUGUAGAGAUACAGGACUCUUUGGACACUCGUAUACAGGUGGUGCAUGGUUGUCGUCAGCUCGUGUCGUGAGAUGUUCGGUUAAGUCCGGCAACGAGCGCAACCCUCGUCCUAUGUUGCCAGCACGUUAUGGUGGGAACUCAUGGGAUACUGCCGUGGUCAACACGGAGGAAGGUGGGGAUGACGUCAAAUCAUCAUGCCCCUUAUGUCUUGGGCUUCACGCAUGCUACAAUGGCCGGCACAAUGGGCAGCGAUACCGUGAGGUGGAGCGAAUCCAAAAAACCGGUCUCAGUUCGGAUUGGGGUCUGCAACUCGACCCCAUGAAGUCGGAGUCGCUAGAAUCGCAGAU
This 1103-nucleotide ribosomal RNA is filed under the name uncultured bacterium. RNAcentral's name for it is "bacterial SSU rRNA". It matches the Rfam family "Bacterial small subunit ribosomal RNA", at positions 235 to 1349 of the family's 1533-position model. The record is from RNAcentral.